GACGAACGCUGGCGGCGUGCUUAACACAUGCAAGUCGAACGGAAAGGCCCUGCUUUUGUGGGGUGCUCGAGUGGCGAACGCGUGAGUAACACGUGAGUAUCCUGCCCUUGACUUUGGGAUAACUUCAGGAAACUGGGGCUAAUACCGGAUAGGAGAUCCUGCUGCGUGGUGGGGGUUGGAUAGUUUCGGCGGUUGGGGAUGGACUCGCGGCUUAUCAGCUUGUUGGUGGGGUAGUGGCUUACCCAGCCUUUGACGGGUAGCCGGCCUGAGAGGGUGAACGGCCACAAUGCUACUGAGGUACGGACCAGUCUGCAACGUGAGGCAGCAGGCGGAAGUAUUGCCCAAUGGGCGCAAGCCUGAUGCAGCAGCGCCGCGGUCGUAAUGACGGCUUUCUGGUUGAAAACCGCUGUCGCCUGUGACGAAGCGUGAGUGACGGUAAUGAGUAAAUAAGCACCGGCUAACUACGUG
RNAcentral lists this ribosomal RNA (468 nucleotides) under uncultured bacterium. RNAcentral's name for it is "partial 16S ribosomal RNA". It matches the Rfam family "Bacterial small subunit ribosomal RNA", at positions 28 to 507 of the family's 1533-position model. The record is from RNAcentral.